UGGAGUCCGAACCCCUGGUGAGCUU
Molecule: non-coding RNA, 25 nt
Filed under: Rattus norvegicus (Norway rat)
Lineage: Eukaryota; Metazoa; Chordata; Mammalia; Rodentia; Muridae
Source: RNAcentral